GACGAACGCUGGCGGCGUGCUUAACACAUGCAAGUCGAACGGAAAGGCCCUGCUUUUGUGGGGUUCUCGAGUGGCGAACGGGUGAGUAACACGUGAGUAACCUGCCCUUGACUUUGGGAUAACUUCAGGAAACUGGGGCUAAUACCGGAUAGGAGCUCCUGCUGCAUGGUGGGGGUUGGAAAGUUUCGGCGGUUGGGGAUGGACUCGCGGCUUAUCAGCUUGUUGGUGGGGUAGUGGCUUACCAAGGCUUUGACGGGUAGCCGGCCUGAGAGGGUGACCGGCCACAUUGGGACUGAGAUACGGCCCAGACUCCUACGGGAGGCAGCAGUGGGGAAUAUUGCACAAUGGGCGGAAGCCUGAUGCAGCAACGCCGCGUGCGGGAUGACGGCCUUCGGGUUGUAAACCGCUUUCGCCUGUGACGAAGCGUGAGUGACGGUAAUGGGUAAAGAAGCACCGGCUAACUACGU
Molecule: ribosomal RNA, 467 nt
Filed under: uncultured bacterium
Lineage: Bacteria
Description: partial 16S ribosomal RNA
Rfam family: Bacterial small subunit ribosomal RNA
Source: RNAcentral